CUCCAGCAAACUGUUUGUUGCUCCAGAGUCCAUCAUCUGCUGUCUCCUGUGCCUCGGGCAAGGUGGAGAAGGAGCUGGCUUCCUCCAGCAGGUAUCUAUUGUAAACGUCCACUUUAUGGGGAUAAUAUUCUUACAUUCCACCAUUCUUGUCCCCUUCAGAAUUCCAUGUACCUCAGUCAGGGCUUGUCCCAGCAUCUCCCUGGUGCCAUCUCACCUCCUGCCCACUGCCUGGGAAAUGCAGGCUCCACAAGUCUGCAGAGCUCCAGAUCAGUAACUCAACUUCCAAACUACCUCGGUGGCCGUGAAGCAUUUGAGAAAACGCCGCAUCCACAAAAGAUGCUGAAGAGGAGCCACUCUCUCCCACUCGCCCCCAAACCCCGUCCCACCUCUCACAACACCUACAGCACCAGGACUGGCAGGAACUGCAGGCACACCUAGUACGGUGACAUCCCCCUAUUGACACGCCGAAGCAAUGAUCCUAGAUUCAACUUCACUCAGCUUAUUGCAUCACAACCCGCUGUAGCAAAUCCAGCACAUAGGGGCGCAAGAAGCUGCAGAGAGUAGUGGGCACAGCCCAGUCCCCACCACUGACAGCAUCUACAGGAGGGGCUAUCUAUCAUCAAGGAUCCAGGCCUCGUUCUCUUCCCGCUGCUCCCAGCAGGCAGGAGCUUAAAGUCCCACAUCUCAAGGUUCAGGAACAGCUGCAACCAUCAGGUUCUCGAACUGACCUUCACAACCCUAACUCUGCCUCAGCGAUGGAACAUUACAGUCCCCUUGCACGACCACGGGCUUGUGUCUUCUUUUACAGGAGGAACGGAGGCAGGCUCGCCCCGACCAACAUCAAAUGGGACUGCAGUUGAGAGGACCGUGGCUCCUCCCACUGACCCCGUGUGGUGAACUACAUAUACCCGUCUGGACACGCCUCCUGCUGACUGCUCCUGUGGCUCCUCCCACAGACCCCGUGUGGUGAACUACAUAUACCUGUCUGGACAGGCCCCCUGCUGACUGCUCCUGUGGCUCCUCCCACAGACCCCGUGUGGUGAACUACAUAUACCUGUCUGGACACGCCCCCCGCUGACUGCUCCUGUGGCUCCUCCCACAGACCCCGUGUGGUGAACUACAUAUACCUGUCUGGACACGCCCCCUGCUGACUGCUCCUGUGGCUCCUCCCACAGACCCCGGUAUAAAGGUGUUUGAGGUCUGAACCCGGCCUCUCAGUCUCCAGGAUGUAGUAUGGUGGUCACUCACUGCUUGUUCCUUCUUCCAGUCAAUAAAAACCGAUAUCUCGCCUCACGUCUCAGAGUGAGUUAUUGAUGGUGCAUCAAUCUCGUCUGGACUGUAGCAAAAAAAGCACAAUGGCCUCUCUUACACCUCGGGCGACUGAGGAAGUUCGACGUGAGUCCCUAAAUCCUCAAGACCUUCUACAGGGGCACCAUAGAGAGCCUCCUGACUGGCUGUAUCACCGCCUGGUACAGGAACUGCACCAACCUUGAUCACCGGGCACUGCAGAGGCACUGCAGACAGCCCAGGGCAUCUGUGGAUGUGAACUUCCCUCCAUUGAGGGCAUUUACAACAGCAGGUGCGUAAAGAAGGCCUGGAGGAUCAUCGGGGACACCAGUCACCCCGACCAUAAACUGCUUCAGCUGUUUCCGUCUGACAAAUGGUAUUGCAGAGUUAAAGCCGGGACUGACAGGCUACGGGACGACUUCUUUCUUCAAGCCAUUAGACUUAUAAAUCCACAUGUCUGUACAUUGCAAUGGAGUCAUAACGCAAAGAUUUUUACUCCCUCAUGUUGUGGGACUGUUGUAAGAUUUAAAUAAAUUCAGUUCAAUUCAAAUUCUUUUCUUUUUGCACUAAUCCUUUGUUCUGCAGUCUUUUAUUCUUCACAGUUCUUCAUUUACGUCAAGCAUAUUGUCUGAAUCUACGAGUCUGUGAUGCCAUUGUUUUUCAUCAUUCCAGU
This is a long non-coding RNA of Hypanus sabinus (Atlantic stingray), 1960 nucleotides long. RefSeq lists it as uncharacterized. NCBI's taxonomy places the organism in Eukaryota, Metazoa, Chordata, Chondrichthyes, Myliobatiformes, Dasyatidae. The record is from RefSeq and is a predicted model, not a curated record. The transcript is spliced from 3 exons.